GCGACCCCAGGAUGGGCGAGGCCACCCGCCGAGUUUAAGCAUAUCAAUAAGCGGAGAAGAAGAANCUUACGAGGAUNCCC
This 80-nucleotide ribosomal RNA is filed under the name Cryptarrhena lunata. RNAcentral describes it as "partial 26S ribosomal RNA". It matches the Rfam family "Eukaryotic large subunit ribosomal RNA", at positions 1 to 79 of the family's 3401-position model. The record is from RNAcentral. Lineage: Eukaryota; Viridiplantae; Streptophyta; Magnoliopsida; Asparagales; Orchidaceae.